RNAcentral lists this ribosomal RNA (391 nucleotides) under Alphaproteobacteria bacterium. Its description in RNAcentral is "bacterial SSU rRNA". It matches the Rfam family "Bacterial small subunit ribosomal RNA", at positions 61 to 499 of the family's 1533-position model. Lineage: Bacteria; Pseudomonadati; Pseudomonadota; Alphaproteobacteria. The record is from RNAcentral.
GUCGAGCGGGACUUCGGGUCUAGCGGCGGACGGGUUAGUAACGCGUGGGAACGUGCCCAAAGGUACGGAAUAGCCUCGGGAAACUGAGAGUAAUACCGUAUGUGCCCCUCGGGGGAAAGAUUUAUCGCCUUUGGAUCGGCCCGCGUUGGAUUAGGUAGUUGGUGGGGUAAUGGCCUACCAAGCCGACGAUCCAUAGCUGGUUUGAGAGGAUGAUCAGCAACACUGGGACUGAGACACGGCCCAGACUCCUACGGGAGGCAGCAGUGGGGAAUCUUAGACAAUGGGGGAAACCCUGAUCUAGCCAUGCCGCGUGAGCGAUGAAGGCCUUAGGGUUGUAAAGCUCUUUCAGAUGGGAAGAUAAUGACGGUACCAUCAGAAGAAGCCCCGGCUA